This 445-nucleotide ribosomal RNA is filed under the name uncultured bacterium. RNAcentral's name for it is "bacterial SSU rRNA". It matches the Rfam family "Bacterial small subunit ribosomal RNA", at positions 335 to 799 of the family's 1533-position model. The record is from RNAcentral.
ACUCCUACGGGAGGCAGCAGUUAGGAAUAUUCGGCAAUGGGGGAAACCCUGACCGAGCGACACUGCGUGAAGGAGGAAGGCCUUAGGGUUGUAAAACUUCUGAACGAGAGACGAUAAUGACGGUAUCUCGGUAAUAGCACCGGCUAACUCCGUGCCAGCAGCCGCGGUAAUACGGAGGGUGCGAGCGUUAAUCGGAAUUACUGGGCGUAAAGCGCAUGCAGGUGGUUUGUUAAGUCAGAUGUGAAAGCCCGGGGCUCAACCUCGGAACUGCAUUUGAAACUGGCAGACUAGAGUACUGUAGAGGGGGUAGAAUUUCAGGUGUAGCGGUGAAAUGCGUAGAGAUCUGAAGGAAUACCGGUGGCGAAGGCGGCCCCCUGGACAGAUACUGACACUCAGAUGCGAAAGCGUGGGGAGCAAACAGGAUUAGAUACCCUGGUAGACUGUC